AACGAACGCUGGCGGCAGGCCUAACACAUGCAAGUCGAGCGAGGUAGCAAUACCUAGCGGCGGACGGGUGAGUAACGCGUGGGAACGUACCCUUUGCUACGGAAUAGCCCCGGGAAACUGGGAGUAAUACCGUAUGUGCCCUUCGGGGAAAGAUUUAUCGGCAAAGGAUCGGCCCGCGCUGGAUUAGGUAGUUGGUGGGGUAAUGGCCUACCAAGCCGACGAUCCAUAGCUGGUUUGAGAGGAUGAUCAGCCACACUGGGACUGAGACACGGCCCAGACUCCUACGGGAGGCAGCAGUGGGGAAUCUUAGACAAUGGGCGCAAGCCUGAUCUAGCCAUGCCGCGUGAGUGAUGAAGGCCUUAGGGUUGUAAAGCUCUUUCAGAUGGGAAGAUAAUGACGGUACCAUCAGAAGAAGCCCCGGCUAACUCCGUG
This 432-nucleotide ribosomal RNA is filed under the name uncultured bacterium. Its description in RNAcentral is "bacterial SSU rRNA". It matches the Rfam family "Bacterial small subunit ribosomal RNA", at positions 29 to 507 of the family's 1533-position model. The record is from RNAcentral.